GGGCCUAUAGCUCAGUUGGUUAGAGCACCUGACUCAUAAUCAGGGGGUCCCAGGAUCGUGCCCUGGUGGGCCCA
Molecule: transfer RNA, 74 nt
Filed under: Flavobacterium sp.
Lineage: Bacteria; Pseudomonadati; Bacteroidota; Flavobacteriia; Flavobacteriales; Flavobacteriaceae
Also listed under: 4 other names
Description: tRNA-Ile
Rfam family: tRNA
About the family: Transfer RNA (tRNA) molecules are approximately 80 nucleotides in length. Their secondary structure includes four short double-helical elements and three loops (D, anti-codon, and T loops). Further hydrogen bonds mediate the characteristic L-shaped molecular structure. tRNAs have two regions of fundamental functional importance: the anti-codon, which is responsible for specific mRNA codon recognition, and the 3' end, to which the tRNAs corresponding amino acid is attached (by aminoacyl-tRNA synthetases). tRNAs cope with the degeneracy of the genetic code in two manners: having more than one tRNA (with a specific anti-codon) for a particular amino acid; and 'wobble' base-pairing, i.e. permitting non-standard base-pairing at the 3rd anti-codon position.
Source: RNAcentral